UCGUAGAGUGAGUCGCUGGAUCAGGAAAUCCUAGCAUGGAUGACCAGGCGUACGAGGUGAGUAACGCGUGGGCAAUCUGCCCUUCACUCUGGGACAAGCCCUGGAAACUGGGUCUAAUACCGGAUAACACUCUGUCCCGCAUGGGACGGGGUUGAAAGCUCCGGCGGUGAAGGAUGAGCCCGCGGCCUAUCAUCUUGUUGGUGGGGGGAUGGCCUACCAAGGCGACGACGGGUAGCCGGCCUGAGAGGGCGACCGGCCACACUGGGACUGAGACACGGCCCACACUCCUACGGGAGGCAGCAGUGGGGAAUAUUGCACAAUGGGCGAAAGCCUGAUGCAGCGACGCCGCGUGAGGGAUGACGGCCUUCGGGUUGUAAACCUCUUUCAUCAGGGAAGAAGCGAAAGUGACGGUACCUGCAGAAGAAGCGCCGGCUAACUACGUGCCAGCAGCCGCGGUAAUACGUAGGGCGCAAGCGUUGUCCGGAAUUAUUGGGCGUAAAGAGCUCGUAGGCGGCUUGUUGCGUCGGUUGUGAAAACCCGGGGCUUAACCCCGGGUCUGCAGUCGAUACGGGCAGGCUAUAGUGUGUAGGGGAGAUAGGGAAUUCCUGGUGUAAUGAUGAAAUGCGCAGAUAUCUGGAGGAACACCGGUGUGCAAAGGCGGAUCUCUGGGCCUUACAGACUCUGAGGAGCGAAUGCGUGRGGAGCGAACAGGAUUAAAUACCCUGGUAGUCCACGCUGUAAACGUUGGAAAACUAGGUGUUAGGACGUUGUUCGUCGUCGGAGCCGCAGCUAACGCAUUAAGUUCCCAGCAUGGGGAGUACGGCCGCAAGGCUAAAACUCAAAGGAAUUGACGAGGGCCCGCACAAGCAGCGGAGCAUGUGGCUUAAUUGUAUGCAACGCGAAGAACCUUACCAAGGCUUGACAUACACCAGAAAGCAUCAGAGAUGGUGCCCCCCUUGUGGUCGGUGUACAGGUGGUGCAUGGCUGUCGUCAGCUCGUGUCGUGAGAUGUUGGGUUAAGUCCCGCAACGAGCGCAACCCUUGUUCUGUGUUGCCAGCAUGCCCUUCGGGGUGAUGGGGACUCACAGGAGACUGCCGGGGUCAACUCGGAGGAAGGUGGGGGGGACGUCAAGUCAUCAUGCCCCUUAUGUCUUGGGCUGCACACAUGCUACAAUGGCCGGUACAAAGAGCUGGGAUGCCGCGAGGCGGAGCGAAUCUCUAAAAGCCGGUCUCAGUUCGGAUUGGGGUCUGCAACUCGACCCCAUGAAGUCGGAGUUGCUAGUAAUCGCAGAUCAGCAUUGCUGCGGUGAAUACGUUCCCGGGCCUUGUACACACCGCCCGUCACGUCACGAAAGUCGGUAACACCGGAAGACCGGGGUCCAGUCACUCCAGCAUGGAGCCAG
This 1402-nucleotide ribosomal RNA is filed under the name Streptomyces sanglieri. Its description in RNAcentral is "bacterial SSU rRNA". It matches the Rfam family "Bacterial small subunit ribosomal RNA", at positions 77 to 1455 of the family's 1533-position model. The record is from RNAcentral. Lineage: Bacteria; Bacillati; Actinomycetota; Actinomycetes; Kitasatosporales; Streptomycetaceae.